Myodes glareolus (Bank vole) is the source of this 1011-nucleotide non-coding RNA. NCBI's taxonomy places the organism in Eukaryota, Metazoa, Chordata, Mammalia, Rodentia, Cricetidae. The record is from RefSeq and is a predicted model, not a curated record.
CACGGGUCUGUGCUAAAUCUUCACGUCCCAGUCCCUCAGAACUCUUGAUGAUCACCAUGUGAUUGUGUACACCAGUUACUAAGAUACCCGCCAUCCCUUCACUAUGAUGUAGAUUUUGAGCCUCUCUGCUAGGCCUAUGUAUUAAGGGCUUGCUCCCAAAUGUUAGUGUUGCAGGAAGGUUGGUGAACUUUAAAGAGGUCCGGGCAGCAACCUUUUAAAUGUGUUGUCAAAUCCUGUGUCCUUCACUGCAUCAUCUCCCAUAACUUCUUAUUGCGGUCCCAGAAGGAUAAGAGUUCAUCAUGGUGGGGAGGCACAGCAGCAAGCAGAAGGCAUAGUGACAAGAGGAGGAAGCCUGAAGCUCUUAUCUUCAGCCUCAAACACAAAGCAGAGAGAGAGAGAACUGGACAUGGGGUGAGAUAAUAAACACCCAAAGCCCUCCUCAGUAACAUGCUUCCUCCAGCAAGCCUCCACAACUUAGACUUUCCUAACAGCACUACCAGCUGUGGAACAAGAGUUCAAAUAGUCGAGCCUAUGGAGAACACUCCUAUUCAAAGGAUUAUAGGAUCUGGAUAUAUAUAAAGAAGUGCAAAAAUGAAAUACCAAGAAAAUAAAGUUGCCAGUCAGCAAGUAAGCUGAUGAACUGAAUGGACAGUUUCGCAAAAAGAAAUCUGAAUGGACAUCAACUGUCUUUAAACAUGUUUAUCAUCCCCAGUCAUCAAGAAAAUGCAAAUUAAAACUAUUUUGAAAUAACAUCUCACGUCAUCAGAAUGAUUAUCAUCAAAAAAAUUGACAAGAAAUAAUAGAGAUGAGGAAAAGGAGGAACUUUUAUUCACUGCUGAUAAGAAUAAAAAUAGCCACUUUGGAAAUCAGUGUAGAGGUUCUUCGAAAAAUUACAUAUAGAACUAUCAUAUGACCCGGCUGUUUCACUCCUGGGCUUCUAACCAAAGGACAAUAUGAGUACUCCCAUGGUUAUUUACUAGAGCAAAGAAAUAGCACGAGUAUAGUUGUCAA